GACGAACGCUGGCGGCGUGCUUAACACAUGCAAGUCGAACGGAAAGGCCCUGCUUGCAGGGUACUCGCGUGGCGAACGGGUGAGUAACACGUGGGUGAUCUGCCCUGCACUUCGGGAUAAGCUUGGGAAACUGGGUCUAAUACCGGAUAGGACCGCACUUUAACGUGUGUGGUGGAAAGUUUUUUCGGUGUAGGAUGAGCUCGCGGCCUAUCAGCUUGUUGGUGGGGUAAUGGCCUACCAAGGCGGCGACGGGUAGCCGGCCUGCGGGGGUGUACGGACACAUUGGACCUGUGAGAGGGCCCAGACUCCGGCGUGAGGCAGCAGUGGGGAAUAUUGGACAAUGGGCGCAAGCCUGAGGCAGCGACGCCGCGUGGGGGAUGAAGGCCUUCGGGUUGUAAGCUCCUUUCGCUAGGGACGAAGCUUUGUUGUGACGGUACCUAGACAAGAAGCACCGGCUAACUACGUG
This 466-nucleotide ribosomal RNA is filed under the name uncultured bacterium. RNAcentral describes it as "partial 16S ribosomal RNA". It matches the Rfam family "Bacterial small subunit ribosomal RNA", at positions 28 to 507 of the family's 1533-position model. The record is from RNAcentral.